CACGACACGAGCAGCGUUACGUUGCGUUGCACUGGCCUCACGUUGGAGAUUGACUCAGGAACAAAUACAAGUGACGGACGGCGCUUAAAUAAGAAGUUUUCCGCUGGUUCCCGCCACCUGUCAAAAAGGCGAUAGCCACUGCGUGCCGUGUGUUCCUCUCCUGUCGCGCCCGUCGUUGAAUUCCGGGACCAAGUCCUGGUUUGUCGUCGGGAGGCCCAGUGUUGGUUAUAUAAGCCAGGCGAAAUCGCUGGCAGCCCCAGAAAAACUUCCUGCAGCGCAGAAAAAAUUAAAAGUAAAGUCUGUCGCAAAAAACUCAUUAGAAGUUUUAUGUGUAUCUAUCCGUAAUUUAAUCAGUAGCCACAAGGAUGUCUUCAUGACAGCACUCCCACGCAUCCCACGCAACACGCAGCACCUGUCCCACCCUCACACACCCCGCAACACAGCCCGGAAAAGUCAAACUAACUAAGUUGGUGUAAAAAUGUACAUUAAAGUGCAUUAGUUGUAUGUACAAUGUUGGUUGUAGAGUGUCGGCCGGGAGGUGUUGGGU
Molecule: long non-coding RNA, 547 nt
Filed under: Drosophila guanche
Lineage: Eukaryota; Metazoa; Arthropoda; Insecta; Diptera; Drosophilidae
Source: RNAcentral